Molecule: ribosomal RNA, 253 nt
Filed under: uncultured bacterium
Lineage: Bacteria
Description: partial 16S ribosomal RNA
Rfam family: Bacterial small subunit ribosomal RNA
Source: RNAcentral
UACAGAGGGGGCAAGCGUUGUUCGGAAUUACUGGGCGUAAAGGGCGCGUAGGCGGCCGCCUAAGUCAGACGUGAAAUCCCCAGGCUCAACCUGGGAAUUGCCUUUGAAACUGUUAAGCUUGAGUACUGGAGGGGAUGGUGGAAUUUCUAAUGUAGCGGUGAAAUGCGUAGAUAUUAGAAGGAACACCGGUGGCGAAGGCGACCAUCUGGACAGUAACUGACACUGAGGCGCGAAAGCGUGGGGAUCAAACAGG